UCAGGCGAGAUGUACUGAUGAGGCAGCUGUUUGAACUCCAUAAUCCUUUUGGUCACAUCCAACAUAGCCCCAAUAAGACUGUUCAGAGCUUCAAAGCGGGACUUCAAUGCAUUCGAAUGCUCCAUUAAGUCAGCUCCACUGGUCUUAUCCUCCAUGGAAUCAAUAUGGGCCCCCUGCACAUCAUUCAAGCAAAUCCUUAAUCAAAUUGAACCCAAGCAGAAAAUCAAGAAGAACCCAACAAAAAAUGAAGCUGAUCAAGAUAAGAAAUAUACUUCAAUGCUCGGAGCAGCUCGUUUAAGGACAUCUUCAAUGAUGUCUAAGAUUGGCCUGACAUCCACAUCGCGGCCAUCAGGAGCAUGGGUUCCUUGGAUCUGCUUCAGCAUUGUGCUAUCAUCGGAUGCUGCGAACAUCCGGCGGUCACCCCUUGCCAUCUGCCUAUGUGAUGGUGGUGCACUUCCCAUUUUUUUUUCUAAAUUACACCUUCGUACAGAGAAACUUGUCAAUAUCUUACAAGAACAAGUGCACUGUUCUACUGCUCUACCUUCCACGGUCCACUGAGCUAAACAUUAUAUAGUGAUGAAAAUAUGAAAAAUAGCUUUUAUUUUAAUUCUAUGUUGGUUAAUUACCAAUAAGAAAAUAGAUAAUAAAGGUACUAAAAUCUUUGAAUCAA
Long non-coding RNA from Beta vulgaris subsp. vulgaris (sugar beet), 670 nucleotides. RefSeq lists it as uncharacterized. NCBI's taxonomy places the organism in Eukaryota, Viridiplantae, Streptophyta, Magnoliopsida, Caryophyllales, Amaranthaceae. The record is from RefSeq and is a predicted model, not a curated record. The transcript is spliced from 2 exons.